GAUGAAGAACGUAGCGAAAUGCAAUAAGUAGUGUGAAUUGCAGAAUUCAGUGAAUCAUCGAAUCUUUGAACGCACAUUGCGCCCCUUGGUAUUCCAUGGGGCAUGCCUGUUCGAGCGUCAUUUGUACCUUCAAGCUUUGCUUGGUGUUGGGUGUUUGUCUCGCCUUUGCGUGUAGACUCGCCUUAAAAUAAUUGGCAGCCGGCGUAUUGAUUUCGGAGCGCAGUACAUCUCGCGCUUUGCACUCAUAACGACAGCGUCCAAAAGUACAUUUUACACUCUUGACCUCGGAUCAGGUAGGGAUACCCGCUGAACUUAAGCAUAUCAAUAAGCGGAGGA
This 336-nucleotide unclassified non-coding RNA is filed under the name soil metagenome. Its description in RNAcentral is "partial contains 5.8S ribosomal RNA, internal transcribed spacer 2, and large subunit ribosomal RNA". The stretch from base 1 to 120 matches the Rfam family "5.8S ribosomal RNA", at positions 35 to 154 of the family's 154-position model. The record is from RNAcentral.